GUUUUAAUAGUUUAAAAAAAACAAUGAUUUUGUAAAUCAUAAUUAGAAUAAAUCUUUAAAACU
This 63-nucleotide transfer RNA is filed under the name Ischnobaenella hainana. RNAcentral's name for it is "tRNA-Thr". The record is from RNAcentral. Lineage: Eukaryota; Metazoa; Arthropoda; Insecta; Hemiptera; Reduviidae.